This 305-nucleotide ribosomal RNA is filed under the name uncultured bacterium. RNAcentral describes it as "bacterial SSU rRNA". It matches the Rfam family "Bacterial small subunit ribosomal RNA", at positions 335 to 657 of the family's 1533-position model. The record is from RNAcentral.
UGCCCUACGGGAGGCAGCAGUGGGGGAUAUUGCACAAUGGGGGGAACCCUGAUGCAGCGACGCCGCGUGGGCGAUGGAGCGCCUCGGCGCGUAAAGCCCUAUCAGCAGGGAAGAAGAUGACGGUACCUGACUAAGAAGCCCCGGCUAAAUACGUGCCAGCAGCCGCGGUAAUACGUAGGGGGCAAGCGUUAUCCGGAUUUACUGGGUGUAAAGGGAGCGUAGACGGCAGCGCAAGUCUGGAGUGAAAUGCCGGGGCUCAACCCCGGAACUGCUUUGGAAACUGUGCAGCUAGAGUGCGGGAGAGG